Molecule: long non-coding RNA, 267 nt
Organism: Empidonax traillii (willow flycatcher)
Lineage: Eukaryota; Metazoa; Chordata; Aves; Passeriformes; Tyrannidae
Exons: 3
Source: RefSeq, a predicted model, not a curated record
UUGCAAUGGGAAAUUAAAUUUGAUCAGGAUAGAUUUAAAAAUAUUGAAGACACAUGGACAGAAAAAUAUGACAGAAUAUACUGUGAAAAUGCAGCUUUUAAGGAAGAAUUGAAACUGAGGACAGAAGAAGUUAAAACACCUAAAGCUGAAAACGCAAUCCUGAAUCAGCAGUGCUUGGAAUUCCUUGCAAUGCUCGAUGUGAAACAACAGAAAGUUGUUCAGGAGAACAUGUCAUUGAAUAAAAGCAACAUUACUGAUUUUACAGGU